UCUAACAAGGGGAACGUAGAAGAAGUGUUCAGCAGAUUUGCAAUAUGCAAAGCACGAGAAGCGACAAAAGCAUUGUCAUGGUAUGGCAAUGGAAGGAGGUGAACAACGAGCGAAGUGCGAGAACCAUAGUAACGAAGGGCUUGUUUGAGAGGAGGCCAUGAGUCUCUGCUAUCGGGGCAGACAGGAUCAUAGAAGGCCUCAAUCAG
RNAcentral lists this unclassified non-coding RNA (206 nucleotides) under Hevea brasiliensis (rubber tree). The record is from RNAcentral. Lineage: Eukaryota; Viridiplantae; Streptophyta; Magnoliopsida; Malpighiales; Euphorbiaceae.